GUCUAUGGCCUUACCACCCUGAACACAUCCGAUCUUGUCUGAUCUCAGAAGUUAAGCAGGGUCGGGCCUGGUUCGUACUUGGAUGGGAGAAAAGUAAAGAUGGUAUACUUU
Vulpes vulpes (red fox) is the source of this 111-nucleotide ribosomal RNA. The record is from Ensembl. Lineage: Eukaryota; Metazoa; Chordata; Mammalia; Carnivora; Canidae.